Long non-coding RNA from Neltuma alba, 101 nucleotides. RefSeq lists it as uncharacterized. The transcript is spliced from 3 exons. NCBI's taxonomy places the organism in Eukaryota, Viridiplantae, Streptophyta, Magnoliopsida, Fabales, Fabaceae. The record is from RefSeq and is a predicted model, not a curated record.
UCACUUUCCUCUUUCCUGAAAUGGGAAAUGAGAAAGGGGGAGGGGAGAGGAACCUUCAUGGUGAUUUUGGGCUUCAUAGGCUUGCUGGCACCCCAGAGAAC